RNAcentral lists this long non-coding RNA (9342 nucleotides) under Salmo salar (Atlantic salmon). RNAcentral's name for it is "lncRNA (ENSSSAG00000104537.1)". The stretch from base 5189 to 5242 matches the Rfam family "UnaL2 LINE 3' element". Lineage: Eukaryota; Metazoa; Chordata; Actinopteri; Salmoniformes; Salmonidae. The record is from RNAcentral.
CUCACACAUACAGUAAAUGAGCAGCAGUAGACAAACAAUUUGGAGCAGAACUCCGGAUAUUCUUGUACUUAAUGUUUGUCAUGUAAGGUCAAAAGUCACCAUUGUCAUGCGAAACCCUGUAUCCCCAUCUUGCUUUAUUGAUCUUCCAGCAGUUGGCAAUGAGAGGUUGACCUACAGAUUGAGCUCAGUAAUCUGUCAUUCAGGGAUAAACGCACAAAAAGAACACGACUGGGCACAUUUUAUAUUUGAUUCACUUAAUCUCUAUAGAGAUAAUCUUAAUCUUAUUUUUAUAGAAUCUACAAACAUUGAGGACACAGCAGGAGUUAUAUGUUUGUAUGAAUUAUGUAAUGAGGGCCUUCACAGAAGCUUUAUCAGUGAGCAAGGACAGCCAUGUGAGUCCGAUUCAGAUAGUGAUGUUAUUCCAACAUGUAACUAUUUUCCCAAUCAUCUUGAGGGUAAAGCUUUCCUGUUUUGACAUUUCUGAAGAAAACAUCUGCUUUCAAAGAAUGUCACAAAAGAUUACUUAAAGCAAACAGUGUGAGUCCAAAUCAGCAAUUUGGCAAAGUAAUUUCACAGUUGGAUGCAGUGAAAACAGGACAGACUACACAACCAUUGUUUUAACAGACUUCAAAACAGCGAUAUGUGUGACAGAAUAUUUUGUGAAGGAAAUGCUACCUGCAAAUUUCUAAGCCAAUGAUCUCCUCCACAUUCAAAGUGUAUGCUCUCAAAAUUGCAGUCAGUGCAAGAAAGCCAUGUAUAGCCAGGGUAAAAAAACAAAUUGUUGAACCAAGUCAAUACAGAAAGAGGCAUCAAAUAAUUCCUUUCACCACAAGCAUCCCAAGAAAACAAGAUUUGUAAAACAUGUAAUACUUCAAACAAUUUUUAGCGGUCAGGCUUUUUAAUGUCAUCCAUGCUCCAAAGGCAUUACUAGAGACAACCAAAACUCUUACAACUCUUACAUCUUACUAACGAGGAUUAUAAAUAUUAAGGAAUGACAACAAGUGGUUCAAUGACCGAAUAAUUGACAGGUGCAAUUAUCUUUUGAAGUCACAUCUGAAGGAACAAUGGCAUGCAAGGAUAUGUUUUAUGAGUUAUCAGAGAGAAAAUUACUACGUAAUACAUUUAAAACCACAGAAAAUGCCUUUGCUGAGCUUGAUAGAUAAUCAUCACGUCUCUGUAUUGUAUAUUAUCUUUCCAUCUUGUCUCCGUUAUUGGUUUUGAAAACUUGGUUAAUAGGCCUUUACAGAACAAAGUGCUGCUGGAUAAUUAAGAUACAGUCCCCUUCCAAAACUAACCAUAUUUGGUUAUUAGAGACCCUACUGAGUAUUUUCCACCCCACUUUAGCUGAGACAUGUUGAAAUGGUUUCUCUCUAAAGCCCAAUAUGCUCAACAGACCAGUCUCAACAUUUAAUUUUUUCAUAAUUACUUAUUGCAUUUUCUUGUUGGCACAAUAACAGUGGCCAUUGACAACAAAAUAUAUAAUUUAAAUGAGUUAUCCAAAAUAAGCAAUGUUUUGAAAUGCAGGCUUUUAUUUUUUAAGGUUUCCUCAUUACCACACUACAGUGAUGUAAUCGUUUGUGCUGCUGGCAGAAUACUAGUAAGGACAUUUAUGGAUUUGCUUUAUGUGGCUACUUGCUAGCUAACGUUAUUGUGAAUAAUGUUUUGGAUUAUCUAUUACAAAACGUUUACGGCAUCGUUUUCAUAAAAUGGAUAUCAUUGUCUCGCUGUGUUUCAGUAACGUUAGAACAUCGGACUGGGGCUCCCAAGUGGCGCAGCGGUCUAAGGCGCUGCAUCUCAGUGCUAGAGGUGUCACUACAGACCCUGGUUUGUUUCCAGGCUGUAUCACAACCGGCCGUGAUUGGGAGUCCCAUAGGGCAGCGCACAAUUGGCCCAGUGUCAUCCAGUUUAGGGUUUGGCUGGUGUAGGCAGCCAUUGUAAAUCAUAAUUUGUUCUUAACUGACUUGCCUAGUUAAAUAAACACAUUUUAAAAAGACUCAUGCAUGCCGACAGAUGGUUCGCUGGCUAGAUGCUAGCUAAAUGUCUAACUUGAGAAGUUGACAGCAAUAUAGAGGAUGUAAUUUUGCUCAGCUCGGGGAGUGGAGAGGACUCGGAUGUUGAAGUUCUAGGUGUUUACAGUGACACCGAGAACAAGGCCUAGGCAAGGCCAUUUAUCAGGGGAGGAUGGGUCAAUCAUGCUGCUUACACACAGGUAAAAGUGUUCCCCGUGAAGUAGCAAUGGCUACCCGGUGACUACGGCAGCAGAGAGGCAUGUUUGACUCACUCAUUGCAUGUGUGAAAACACAACAGAACAAGAACUGUAGCGAGUAAUUAUUUUGAUAAAAAUAUAUUUACACUGUACAGCAAAUUAGUUAUGGCUAGUUAAUUGAUGAGUUGGGGUUGCCAAACCAGCUGGGAGCGUGCCACAACUGUCACUUGACUCGUCACACGUCACUCACUAGGUCCCACCCCCUCCUCAGGUAAAGCUUGGGAUUUUCUUAUUCAAUUAGCUAGCUAGAUAAAGCUAUAGGUAAAGUUAUAGCUAGUAUGUAUUUGUGGAAGAUGUUCAAUGUAGUGUAGCCACUGGACCACUUGACUUACAAGCUUGAGAGUACUGUAAAUUCCGGACUAUAAGCCGCAACUUUUUUCCCAGGCUUUGAACCUCGAGGCUUAAACAAUAUAUGGAUUUUUCCCGCUUUAAAAAAAAUUUCCGCAAAAAAAUAAAAACAUUCUGUGACGUGCUGUUUUUUGCCGGCAUGAAGCUUUCAUUAGACCAAUGAAAUUGCCGAACGGGUUACGGUCAAAAACUUUUUUGUUUACUGUUUAGAUUAAAUAGAGCGCUCUCAAACUUCCCAUCAUUCUGAUUACGGUAGUCAUUUUGUCACCCUCAUCAUGGCAAAGACACAGAGAAAUGCAUAUGAUGCAUCUUUCAAGUUGAAGGCGAUUGAUCUGGCUGUUGGAAAAGGAAAUAGAGCUGCUGCACGGGAGCUUGGUCUUAAUGAGUCGAUGAUAAGACGUUGGAAACAGCAGCAUGAGGAAUUGACUCAGUGCAAAAAGACAACUAAAGCUUACUGCUAAUUUUUUAUUUCUUGUUACAAGCCGUGUUUCGUUAAAGCCUAUUUAUUUUUGUUACAAGCCGUGUUUCGUUAAAGCCUGUGUAAAGUUAAUUUGUUUCAAAGUAACCGGUAGGCACCUGCGGCUUAUAGACAUGUGCGGCUUAUUUAUGUUCAAAAUAAUAUAUAUUUUUUAAUUCAGUGGGUGCGGCUUAUAUUCAGGUGCGCUUAAUAGUCCGGAAAUUACAGUAGGCUAAAUCGGUGUUAGUUUGCUAGCUAGCUAACAGAUAGCUAACAUCAUUGAUAAGAGCCUUCCCUGUGGCUCAGUUGGUAGAGCAUGGUGUUUGCAACGCCAGCAUGGUGUGUGCAACGCCAGGGUUGUAGGUUCAAUUCCCACGGGGGGCCAGUACAAAAAAAAAAGUGUCUGCUAAAUGACUAAAAUGUAAAAUAACGCUGGGCAGGCCUCUUGCUAGCUUUCACUCAAAUGCGAGGGACUGCCUUGCUGGCUAAAAACACAUAGAUAAUGAAUAUAUUGUUCUAUGAUAGUAAGUUAGCUUGCUAAAUAAUAGUGUCUGCAGUCUAUGGCAUCCAUAUUCACCACCCUCAGAUCACAGCCCAAUGCAAAUGUAUGAAAACACUUCAAUGUAAUAUACUUUGUGUUGAUCUUCACCUCAAAGUAAGCAUAAUCUCAUUCUAGUUCUUCUGUGGUUGACCUGUCUCUCAGUUUGUGAUUGACUUUACUGGUCAGAGGUGGGCUCUCCCACCAUCAAGGAGGCGCAGGGGGAGGGACCUAGGUGGGCCCGUAGAAGUGGGGGACUUUAUUGACAACAACCACUCGGAUCACUCAGAUCCAGGGCAGGUGAAUCCACUACCCCAGGGAGAUAAAAAUACUAAUGGAAUCUCAAAACAUAAAGGACCGCACACCAGAAGUCCAGGUUCUCUGUCCCGCUCCCCAACUAAACAAGAUUUGAAUGAGAACAAAGCAGGAUUUAAUAGCAGAAGAAAGGGACAUUAUUGAAUCCAAUUCGCUCAGGGAUUCUUCUUCGACUGGACCAUCAAAUGACAAGAAAGCCAUGAAAAGCUCAGACACAGACAUUCCAAUAUGUUCAAUAAAAUCACCAAGUGCGUCUAAAUCUGAACAGCCUGCAGUGGCAGGAGCCUCAGGGUCUUCUACUAACCAGAUAACUGGGAAGUCACAACAAUACUCAGGUAAACCUUCUCAACCAUUGUUUGAAGGAAAAGAAGAGCCAGAAUGCUUAAAGUCUGAGACUUCGACCUCUAUAACCAUUCCAAAUGAAGCUCAGACAAGCUGCACUGGAGAAGUAGAAAAUGGUGUAUUGGAAGAGCAAGAAACAGUCUAUUACAAGGAACAAACCUCUUUUGACAGAGAAAUAUAAACAACCAAGGUCCGCACAAUCACUACUAGACAACACUCUCCCUCACCCCCUAAAGCCUACACUGCAAGUCAGCUCUCAAAAACAAGAAAUAAAAGCAAUACAAUUAGGGAAAUAUUACUUAAAAUAGGCAAAAUGAUCUGCCAACAGAACAGGAAAAUUUUACUUGACAAGAUUUUUUAAACAAGUUAAAAUAUCUAGUCUCAAAGAAUGUACAGAUAUCUUAAACCUAGUGCGUUCAGACUAAAAACAAGUAAUUUGUCUGGAUACAAAGAAAAGAUGUAAGAAUAAUUUUCUCAAUAUGUAGGAAAAUGUGCUUAAAUUUAGCAAAUGCUAGUGCCAUCAUCUUGAAAUAAGGCUAUAUGUUUAGUAAAUAUAUCUUAAAACCAGUACAGCUACACAAAAAAAAAGUACAUUUGUCUGUAUGCAAAUAAAAGAUUUAAGAAUUAUUUUCUAAAUCUGUAGGAAAAUGUGCUUAAAUUUAGAAUCCAAUGCUAUUGCAAUCGUCUUGAAAUAAGGCAAUAUUCCCAGGAAUUUACAGAAACAUUUUGCUUAAAAUAAGUAAUCUUGACUAAGAUAAAUGUACUUGUACUACUAUUAGAAAUGAGAUUGGCCAGCUUAAAGAAAGAAUGAAAGAGUGGCUCAGUUGGUAGAGCAUGGUGUUUGCAACACCAGGGUUGUGGGUUCAAUUCCCAUGGGGGACCAACACAGGGAAGGAAGAAAAAAAAAAAUGUAUGAAUUGUAUGCAUUCACUACUGUAAGUCGCUCUGAAUAAGAGCUUCUGCUAAAUGACUAAGAUGUAAAUGUGAUGAAUCUCAUUUCUUUUCACUUCUUUAUUGAAGACUCAGUAUAUCCAGAGGCUGAUAUGGGCAGAACUGGAUGCAAAAACAACAAAGGCCAUUGGUGGUCAAGGUGAAAAUGUAAGACCAAUGGGAAGAUAACAUUCAUAACAGUGCUUUAAACCUUCUUAUAAUAAACAACAAACGCCCUGUCUAUUUAUUAAAGGUUAUAGGAUCAGUUCUCGGAUGGGCCAAUACACAGUUUUGUUAUCGGGACUGGAAAUGAAAAAAUGGUAUUGUGCAACCCUAGUCAGUAAUGAACUUUUUCCACUCGGCCAUAGCCUUUUUAUAUGAAGAAGUCAUGUCCUGGUCGUGGAUGGCGUCCGAGAGGACUUCUGUCUGCAACACAGAGAGGAGUGUCACAAUGUACUUGGGAUAUGUGAGGUAAAGGUGUAAUAACACUCCAUGAGAUACGUCACGCUGGCAUAGAUGUCCUCUUUUGGGAAGGUCACCACAGGCAUGGUUCCAAUGGCCAGUACGCAGUUGGGUUCGCAGACAAUCACGACAGGGCUGAAGAGUGGUCUCGCCUGAAGAAAGGUCCCAGAGGAGGUGCCUGGUCUUCACAGGACAACAUUCAACCCGAUCAGCUUCUAGCUAACUCCAGCAUCACUGAUCAACAACUCCAUACAUCUGACUCAGAUGAAGGGCAAAGGGGCAUUGACCAACAUGAAGCUGUCACAGUGCAGCAAGAUCUGACAACACAUGCCACUGCUUUUGUGAUAAAUGAGAGCCAAGCAUCGUCUCUCACAGGCAUGAAUGACAUUGUUGCUGGGGUACAGCAGUAUCAAUCAUCACUAUUGGACAACCUCAGGAAGCAGAUGGAGUCAGUGCUAAGGAAGCGUUCAGGAAGCACAUCAGGUCAACUUGAAAAAGAUGCAAUGGAUAUAUUUGACAAUUUCAUUGACCCUUUUGCUGGCGUUGCAACAACAUUUAGACAAGACAGUGUUAUUAAGAAGCAGUUUAGCAGUUUGGAUGCAGAGGAAAUUCCAAUUGCUUGAACCAUAUGCAGGAUGAAAUGUGGAGGUUCAAAAUACAUUUUCAUCAAAGACAAAUUAUUUCAUUAUGUACCAUUAGUCAAAAGUCUAGAACAGUUCUUAUCACACCCAAGGAUUUUGUCUAUGGUUGAAAAGGGACCCCAGAUGUGUAACGGGCGUCGUAUGUAGUAGACCAAGGCGCAGCGGGUUGAGUGCUCAUCUUAAACUUUUAUUGAACACUUACAAAACAAGAAACCGAACACACAGUAUUGCAGGCUACACACACAGCUAUGCAAAAACAACUUCCCACAAAAGACAGGUGAAAACAGGGCUACCUAAGUAUGACUCCCAAUCAGUAACAACGAUGUACAGCUGUUCCUGAUUGAGAGCCAUACCAGGCCAACAAAGAAAUACACAACAUAGAAAAAACAUAGAAAUACAAAACAUAGAACAAUACCCAAAAACCCUGGAACACAUAAAACAAACACCCCCUGCCACGUCCUGACCAAACUACAAUAACAAAUAACCCCUUUACUGGUCAAGAUGUGCAAGGAAAGUUUUUUUUUCAUGACGUUGUUAAUGGUGCUCUUCUAAAAUCACAUACCUUUGGUUUCUCUGAAAAUAAGGGAUUGCAGAUUGUUCUGUACAUGGAUGAAAUAGAAAUCUGUAAUCCACUAGGAUCCUUUGCAUCAAAAAACAAGUUGUUAAUGGUGUACUACACCCUAGGAAAUAUAAAUCCAAAAUACAGGUCUAAACUGGCUGCUAUCAUGCUACUUGCCAUGGCUAGAUCAGCAGACCUCCGUCAAUCUGGUGUAGAUGUAAUAUUGAAUAGAAUCAAGGAAGACAUGGAUGCAUUGUAUGGAUGUAUUUGGCCCUGUCCGGGGGUAUCAUCGGAUGGGGCCACAGUGUCUUCUUAUCCCUCCUGUCUCAGCCUCCAGUAUUUAUGCUGCAGUAGUUUGUGUCGGGGGGCUAGGGUCAGUCUGUUACAUCUGGGGUAUUUCUCUUGUCUUGUCCGGUGUCCUGUGUGAAUUUAAAUAUGCUCUCUCUAAUUCUCUCCUUCUGUCUUUCUCUCGGAGGACCUGAGCCCUAGGACCAUGCCUCAGGACUACCUGGCAUGAUGACUCCUUGCUGUCCCCAGUCCACCUGGCCGUGCUGCUGCUCCAGUUUCAACUGUUCUGCCUGCGGCUAUGGAACCCUGACCUGUUCACCGGACGUACUUGUUGCAUCCUCGACAACUACUAUGAUUAUUAUUUGACCAUGCUGGUCAUUUAUGAACAUUUUAACAUCUUGACCAUGUUCUGUUAUAAUAUCCACUCUGCACAGCCAGAAGAGGACUGGCCACCCCUCAUAACCUGGUUCCUCUCUAGGUUUCUUCCUAGGUUUUUGGCCUUUGUAGGGAGUUUUUCCUAGGGAGUUUUUCCUAGCCACCGUGCUUCUUUCACAUGCAUUGCUUGCUGUUUGGGGUUUUAGGCUGGGUUUCUGAACAGCACUUUGAGAUAUCAGCUGAUGUACGAAGGGCUAUAUAAAUACAUUUGAUUUUUGAAAUUUGAUUGUACAGUGGGGUUAAAAUGCUAACUAUUAAUGGAGAGAAUUAUAUAUGGUGCCAUGGUCUCUCUGUGGAGACACCCUGGCACAACAUGAACUAGCAGGGUUCAAAGAGUGUGGGCUUUGCUACAGUAAGUGCAGACACUGAGUGUUCUUUUGAGGACAUGCAGUCACACUUCAAUGAGGAUGCAUAUACUAAAAGGACAUUGGCGAAGCAUGUCAGACAGUGUGAUGAAAUAGAAAAGGCACCAACUGACUUGCUUCACAACAGCCUGAGCACAACAUAUGGGAUCAAUAAAAGGAGCAAGUUAGUUGAAUUCCCAGCCUUUAUCAUACAACAAACUCCGCAAGACAUUAUGCAUGUAAUUCUGGAGGGCAUAGACCCAUUGGAAAUCAAAUGUUUUGAAUCAUCUUGUGUCAGGACAGAUUGAUCUGGACUCGGUGAAUUCUGCUAUUCUUGGUUUCCCUUAUUCCCCUCUAGAUGUUAGAGAUCGGCCAUCCCCAAUUUCAGUUAGUAGAUUAACGUCAAGUGAUGGUAAACUAAAACAGUCAUCUGGGCAAAUGCUUGUCCUGCUAAGGAUAUUGUCAUUUGUUUUGGAGAGUUUGGAAGUCAAUACAUAUAUACUACUGAUAAUUGAGCUAAUAGAGAUUGUACAGAUAGUAUUUACACCAGUUCUUUCCAUUGUGACUGUGUCUAGGUUGAAGUUACUCAUUGAAAAUCAUUUGAAGCAUUGGAAGGAGCUUUUUCCAGACCGCAAUGUUACACCUAAACAACAUGAUACAUUUUCCAUCACAGAUAAAGUUAUUGGGUCCAAUGGUUAGACAUAUGUGUAUGCGGUUCGAGUCUAAACAUUGUUUCUUUAAACAAUGGGUUUCCAAGCUCAAUUAAAAAAAUAUUUGCAAGUCUUUGAUCAAUCAGAACCAAAUAUAUGAAAACUGCCAAAAUGUUGACAGUUCAAUGCACCCAUUUUUUUUCAAAUGAAAGGGAGAUGGGACCUGUAUCAGAGGUUAAAGAUCUACAAUAUUUACGUGGAAAAUUGAGGGACUUCCUAGGUUUCAAUGAAGUAAACCAUUCUGUAUCAGUCAAAUGGCUUGAAAUAAAUACAUAACUCAGAAGUCCAUGAUCUUUGCCAAAGUACUGAAUGGUAAUAUGCCAGAAUUUGGACUGGUCAAAACAUAUUUCUUGUUGAUUCUAGGCUUUAUCGUUUGAAAUAUCAACCAUUUCAAACUAUACGCUUUGAGAGAAACGUCAUGGCUUAUCAAGUUGAGGUCCCACACCUUGCACAGGCCACUGAGUUACUGGAUGCUGAAAAGCUGGUUGAUUUGACCUCUUAUUACACAAUUAGCAACAAGAGCCAAACUUAUGUACAAGUCAAAUACCAUCUUUGGGAUGUAAUAGAAUUGUACAAUAGUUCAAAUGACUCAGUGUGUUCCCCAGAUAUGAAAAGUGUACUGUCUUUGUUCUGUACUGUAUUUUGUCUACAUGAUUGCUGUGCUGUGUGUAAGAUUGACAAUAAAACAGUGAAUUCCAUUUGGUCAA